CAUGGCUCUGCCAUUUCCUGGAUGAGUGAUCUUGAGAAGUCCCUGAGACUUGAGUUUCUCACCUCAGCAACAAGCCUAAUGAGAAGAACAUCCUAUCAGGGCUUUAGUUAAGGUUUGUGUUUUCAGUUGCCACCUGUCUUCUUGGAUAGAAACGACGCUGUUUCUACAAAGCUGCUGGGUUUCUCUGGGAGCAGGAGCUUCUGAACCUUGCGUGUGACUGCCGUCCUCAGUUCAGUCAAGAGAUCAGUCAGCAAGUCGCCCUUUGCUCUCCUGCGAUGGUUGCCACCUCUCGUUUUCACAAGAAAGAUAAAGCAAAUGAGUCAGCCCCUCGGACCCUUCCAGAUUGGCACGCGAUGCUCUAGCUAACCUCAGCUUAGCUGUAGCUAAAGAGAGUUCAAAAAAAGCCUUCAGAAACCCUUCUUCCAGAAAGACAGACACACAUCUGGCUUCCUUCUUUUUUUCUCUUCUGCCUCUUAUUGGCUUUCCGGAUUUUUUUAACUUUUUAAAAACACCAAAGUCUGAUUUUUAUAUAUAGUAGCCUGUGAUCUUCCCCUUUAAGGAUCCUGAUACAUCACCUCAUAUCCUGAAAGAAUAUAAGAGGCAUCUUCAGUGUGCAGUAAGAGUUUUGUGCAAUCUGAGAGAGAGAAAAGAUUGGUUCCACUAAUGGAUCACCCAACUUGUGAUGGGAUUUUGUGCUCAAACCUGGAAGAACAUUGAGCGCAGGGAGUGGUCAGGAACUGAGAGUCUCUGUAACCAGAUGCUGACAGCCCUUGUGACAAGCACCAGAGCUCGUGGUGACUGUGAGUGUCAGAGCCCAUGAAACCCACAGCCCGUCUUCCCUGGUCUGACCGUUCUGUCCAGAGAUUUUGGACUUGACACGUCCCACUACUCCAGAGGCAUCUGUGGGGAGUUUUGCAGAAUGAACGAGGAGAGAACAGUAUAAAAAAGGGGAAAUGUUUUUAACUCCUGUGGGCAUUUUCUGAGGCACGCUUUGAGGCCUGUGCUUUAACAGGAAUUCUACAACAAUCCAGACACCAAGGAUUUCUGCCAUUUUUUUUUUAAAGGGUGGAUAUUUUCAAGAAAUAGUCAGGGAUUGGGGCCAUGUAUGAGGCCGGCAGCUCAGGAAAGCAGUCCACCGCACUCCCUGCUCUGCUUUCCUCACGCCCAGUAAAUGAGGGCGCCAGGGUGGCCCCGAGGCUGGUGUGUGUGGGGCUGAGCUGGGCGCAAGCAUCUCCCUGUCAGCAUCGGGCGAUAAUCCUGAGUGGAGCCAGUAAAUGUUGUAGGUUUGCUGUCAAUCCUUGGAUCCCAGGAUCAUUCUUUGUAAUUAAAGUUCAUUCUUAAUGUAACAUGGCUGGUCUCUAAAACUAAUAUUUUAUUUAUAAAUGUGGCAGCUCCAGAGGCAGAAUAUGUCCAUGACAUCUUUCAGGAAAAGAGAUACUUUCUUAACCAUUUGAAAUAAAAAUUGAGAAUAUGGAAAUGGCAUUCCUGGCAGUUUAGUUUUAUCACUUUUGUGCCUUCAUGGGUGGGGUUCUUCUUUGUAUAAAUUUCUGCUGACUUCCCGGAGGAGGUCCUGAGCUUCCACGAGCUACUGGGAGUGGGCAGAAGAAAGUUGAGGCCCAGUGCUUUUAGGAAUCUGUGUGUUUGGAGGGACACACUUGCACAUGGUGUGUUUCCUAGGGCGGCCACAACAAAGUGCAACACAGUGAGGGGCUGGGAACAACAGCGAGGUGUUGUCUCACGGUUCCGGGGGCCGUGAGUCUGAAAGCCGGGCGCCGGCAGGCCGUGCUCCCCCUGGAGGCUCCAGGGAAGGGUCCUUUCUGGGCCUCCUCCUAGUUUCCAGCAGCUCUAGGCAUUCCUCGGCUUGUAGGUGGCCAUCAACCCCCUGUGUCUGCAUCAUGUUCCCUCUGUGC
This is a long non-coding RNA of Equus asinus (donkey), 1910 nucleotides long. Lineage: Eukaryota; Metazoa; Chordata; Mammalia; Perissodactyla; Equidae. The record is from Ensembl.